AGCGAACGCUAGCGGCGGGCCUAACACAUGCAAGUCGAGCGCAUACCUUCGGGUAUGAGCGGCGGACGGGUGAGUAACGCGUAGGUCAUCUACCCUUUGGUGGGGGAUAACCCAGGGAAACUUGGGCUAAUACCGCACGAGGUCUACGGAUCAAAGCCUUCGGGCGCCAGAGGAUGAGCCUGCGUCGCAUUACCUAGUUGGCGGGGUAACGGCCCACCAAGGGGACGAUGCGUAGCUGGUCUGAGAGGAUGAUCAGCCACACUGGGACUGAGACACGGCCCAGACUCCUACGGGAGGCAGCAGUGGGGAAUAUUGCGCAAUGGGGGAAACCCUGACGCAGCCACGCCGCGUGGGUGAUGAAGGCCUUCGGGUUGUAAAGCCCUGUCGGGAGGGACGAAUUCUUGACGGUACCUCCAAAGAAAGCACCGGCUAACUCCGUGCCAGCAGCCGCG
This 452-nucleotide ribosomal RNA is filed under the name uncultured bacterium. RNAcentral's name for it is "bacterial SSU rRNA". It matches the Rfam family "Bacterial small subunit ribosomal RNA", at positions 28 to 519 of the family's 1533-position model. The record is from RNAcentral.